RNAcentral lists this ribosomal RNA (557 nucleotides) under Noblella losamigos. RNAcentral describes it as "partial large subunit ribosomal RNA". It matches the Rfam family "Bacterial large subunit ribosomal RNA", at positions 1812 to 2605 of the family's 2925-position model. The record is from RNAcentral. Lineage: Eukaryota; Metazoa; Chordata; Amphibia; Anura; Craugastoridae.
AACAUCGCCUUUUGUAAAUUAUAAAAGGUCUAGCCUGCCCAGUGACUUGUUCAACGGCCGCGGUAUCCUAACCGUGCGAAGGUAGCGUAAUCACUUGUCUUUUAAAUAAAGUCUAGUAUGAAAGGCUCUACGAAGAUCCAACUGUCUCCUUUUUUUCAUCUGUGAAACUAAUCUCCCCGUGAAGAAGCGGGGAUUCUUAUAUAAGACGAGAAGACCCUAUGGAGCUUCAAACUUCUGACCACCUGCACUCUAAGUUUAACCUUUAAGCACUUUUGACUCACAAGUUUUAGGUUGGGGUGACCCAGGAGAACAACUUAUCCUCCUGGCUGAUACGAUUUAUCUUAGCAAAAAGCUACAGCUUUAAGCACCAAAAUAUUGACCUAAUUGACCCAGUUUUCUGAUCAACGAACCAAGUUACCCUAGGGAUAACAGCGCAAUCUUCUUCAAGAGCCCCUAUCGACAAGAAGGUUUACGACCUCGAUGUUGGAUCAGGGUAUCCUAGUGGUGCAGCCUCUACUAAAGGUUCGUUUGUUCAACGAUUAAAACCCUACGUGAUC